Molecule: ribosomal RNA, 838 nt
Filed under: Panaeolus desertorum
Lineage: Eukaryota; Fungi; Basidiomycota; Agaricomycetes; Agaricales
Description: Panaeolus sp. VM-2018a partial large subunit ribosomal RNA
Rfam family: Eukaryotic large subunit ribosomal RNA
Source: RNAcentral
ACGAUUGUCCGAGUUGUAAUCUAGAGAAGAUCANCCGCGCUGGACCGUGUACAAGUCUCCUGGAAUGGAGCGUCAUAGAGGGUGAGAAUCCCGUCUUUGACACGGACUGCCAGGGCUUUGUGAUGUGCUCUCAAAGAGUCGAGUUGUUUGGGAAUGCAGCUCAAAAUGGGUGGUAAAUUCCAUCUAAAGCUAAAUAUUGGCGAGAGACCGAUAGCGAACAAGUACCGUGAGGGAAAGAUGAAAAGAACUUUGGAAAGAGAGUUAAACAGUACGUGAAAUUGCUGAAAGGGAAACGCUUGAAGUCAGUCGCGUUGUCCGGGAAUCAACCUUGCUUUUGCUGGGCGUACUUCCUGGUCAACGGGUCAGCAUCAAUUUUGACCGUUGGAAAAAGUGGCUGGGAAUGUGGCAUCUUCGGAUGUGUUAUAGCCCAGUUUCGUAUACAACGGUUGGGAUUGAGGAACUCAGCACGCCGCAAGGCCGGGUUUUUAACCACGUUCGUGCUUAGGAUGCUGGCAUAAUGGCUUUAAUCGACCCGUCUUGAAACACGGACCAAGGAGUCUAACAUGCCUGCGAGUGUUUGGGUGGAAAACCCGAGCGCGUAAUGAAAGUGAAAGUUGAGAUCCCUGUCGUGGGGAGCAUCGACGCCCGGACUUGAACUUCUGUGACGGAUCCGCGGUAGAGCAUGUAUGUUGGGACCCGAAAGAUGGUGAACUAUGCUGAAUAGGGUGAAGCCAGAGGAAACUCUGGUGGAGGCUCGUAGCGAUUCUGACGUGCAAAUCGAUCGUCAAAUUUGGGUAUAGGGGCGAAAGACUAAUCGAACCAUCUAGUAGCUGGUUCC